RNAcentral lists this ribosomal RNA (279 nucleotides) under uncultured bacterium. RNAcentral's name for it is "partial 16S ribosomal RNA". It matches the Rfam family "Bacterial small subunit ribosomal RNA", at positions 506 to 784 of the family's 1533-position model. The record is from RNAcentral.
UGCCAGCCGCCGCGGUAACACGGGGGGCGCAAGCGUUAUUCGGAAUUACUGGGCGUAAAGCGCUCGUAGGCGGUUUGUUAAGUCGGAUGUGAAAGCCCCGGGCUCAACCUGGGAACUGCAUUCGAUACUGGCAAACUAGAGUAUAGAAGAGGCAAGUGGAAUUCCGGGUGUAGCGGUGAAAUGCGUAGAUAUCCGGAGGAACAUCAGUGGCGAAGGCGGCUCCCUGGCCAAAGACUGACGCUCAUGUGCGAAAGUGUGGGUAGCGAACAGGAUUAGAUA